GACGAACGCUGGCGGCGUGCUUAACACAUGCAAGUCGAACGGUAAGGCUCCAGCUUGCUGGGGUACACGAGCGGCGAACGGGUGAGUAACACGUGGGUGACCUGCCCUGCACUUCGGGAUAAGCCUGGGAAACUGGGUCUAAUACCGGAUAGGACCAUGGUGUGGAUACUGUGGUGGAAAGUUUUUUCGGUGUGGGAUGGGCCCGCGGCCUAUCAGCUUGUUGGUGGGGUAAUGGCCUACCAAGGCGGCGACGGGUAGCCGGCCUGAGAGGGUGGACGGCCACAUUGGGACUGAGACACGGCCCAGACUCCUACGGGAGGCAGCAGUGGGGAAUAUUGCACAAUGGGCGGAAGCCUGAUGCAGCGACGCCGCGUGGGGGAUGACGGCCUUCGGGUUGUAAACUCCUUUCACCAUCGACGAAGGGUUUCUGACGGUAGAUGGAGAAGAAGCACCGGCUAACUACGUG
Molecule: ribosomal RNA, 466 nt
Filed under: uncultured bacterium
Lineage: Bacteria
Description: partial 16S ribosomal RNA
Rfam family: Bacterial small subunit ribosomal RNA
Source: RNAcentral